UGCGUAGGCGGCUAAUUGAGUCGGAUGUGAAAUCCCCGAGCUUAACUUGGGAAUUGCAUUCGAUACUGGUUAGCUAGAGUGUGGGAGAGGAUGGUAGAAUUCCAGGUGUAGCGGUGAAAUGCGUAGAGAUCUGGAGGAAUACCGAUGGCGAAGGCAGCCAUCUGGCCUAACACUGACGCUGAGGUACGAAAGCAUGGGGAGCAAACA
RNAcentral lists this ribosomal RNA (207 nucleotides) under uncultured bacterium. Its description in RNAcentral is "partial 16S ribosomal RNA". It matches the Rfam family "Bacterial small subunit ribosomal RNA", at positions 568 to 774 of the family's 1533-position model. The record is from RNAcentral.